This 447-nucleotide ribosomal RNA is filed under the name Heterosigma akashiwo. RNAcentral describes it as "partial Bacterial large subunit ribosomal RNA". It matches the Rfam family "Bacterial large subunit ribosomal RNA", at positions 1390 to 1820 of the family's 2925-position model. The record is from RNAcentral. Lineage: Eukaryota; Raphidophyceae; Chattonellales; Chattonellaceae.
CCUAAGGCGAGGCCGAGAGGCGUAGUCGAUGGGAAAUUGGUUAAUAUUCCAAUACUUCUAUGUAAUGCGAUGAGAGGACGGAGAAGGUUAAGUCAGCCUGGCGUUGGUUGUCCAGGUGGAAGGUUGUAGGCAUGUAUCUUAGGCAAAUCCGGGGUACUCUAUGCUGAGAACUGAUAGCAAGCUGUACUUGUACAGUGAAGUGGCUGAUACCAUGCUUCCAGGAAAAGUCUCUAAGCUUCAGUUACAUAGGAAUCGUACCCGAAACCGACACAGGUGGUCAGGUCGAGUAGACCAAAGCGCUUGAGAGAACUCUGCUGAAGGAACUAGGCAAAAUGGUACCGUAACUUCGGGAGAAGGUACGCUGCCGAUGGUGAGUAGUCACGCACUACAAAGCUAUUGGCAGUCGCAGAUACCAGGCCGCUGCAACUGUUUAUUAAAAACACAGCA